CGGUUAAAAUUUUCCUUUCACAGCGGUUCGGACCCGCUGUAGAGCUCGCCGUUGUAAAAGACUAUACAGCGGUCCGAACCGCUGUAAAAGAUAGAUUAUUUACCG
This 105-nucleotide microRNA precursor is filed under the name Lotus japonicus. Its description in RNAcentral is "miR11127 stem-loop (lja-MIR11127)". The record is from miRBase by way of RNAcentral. Lineage: Eukaryota; Viridiplantae; Streptophyta; Magnoliopsida; Fabales; Fabaceae.